UAGGGAAUCUUCCACAAUGGACGCAAGUCUGAUGGAGCAACGCCGCGUGAGUGAAGAAGGUUUUCGGAUCGUAAAGCUCUGUUGCUGGUGAAGAAGGAUAGAGGUAGUAACUGGCCUUUAUUUGACGGUAAUCAACCAGAAAGUCACGGCUAACUACGUGCCAGCAGCCGCGGUAAUACGUAGGUGGCAAGCGUUGUCCGGAUUUAUUGGGCGUAAAGCGAGCGCAGGCGGAAGAAUAAGUCUGAUGUGAAAGCCCUCGGCUUAACCGAGGAACUGCAUCGGAAACUGUUUUUCUUGAGUGCAGAAGAGGAGAGUGGAAUUCCAUGUGUAGCGGUGGAAUGCGUAGAUAUAUGGAAGAACACCAGUGGCGAAGGCGACUCUCUGGUCUGCAACUGACGCUGAGGCUCGAAAGCAUGGGUAGCGAACAGG
This 429-nucleotide ribosomal RNA is filed under the name bacterium. RNAcentral describes it as "partial 16S ribosomal RNA". It matches the Rfam family "Bacterial small subunit ribosomal RNA", at positions 355 to 776 of the family's 1533-position model. The record is from RNAcentral.